This is a non-coding RNA of Chlorocebus sabaeus (green monkey), 298 nucleotides long. NCBI's taxonomy places the organism in Eukaryota, Metazoa, Chordata, Mammalia, Primates, Cercopithecidae. The record is from RefSeq and is a predicted model, not a curated record.
CCGAAAGGGAGACUUCCUCCAGAACAAGCCUGCAAGCUGUAUCCAGCAUUUCUUCAUUCCAGUGCCUGGAAAGUCCAAAGAGAAAACUCCUAGCCUGACACAGUUUAUUACCCCGUAUCUUCACCUAAUAGAAUGAAAAUGUCAUGAUUCAUCAGGGAGAGUCACCAAGGGAUGCCUACCAGAGUUUACUGUCAUCAGAUACAUACAGCCAUGUUUCUGAUCUGGGACCCAGCCAGAGUUCCCAAAUGCUUCAGGAGAGCAUGGUACGUCUGUGUCUUCUCCUCUGGAAGCUUCUGGA